Paramacrobiotus metropolitanus is the source of this 819-nucleotide long non-coding RNA. RefSeq lists it as uncharacterized. The record is from RefSeq and is a predicted model, not a curated record. The transcript is spliced from 4 exons. Lineage: Eukaryota; Metazoa; Tardigrada; Eutardigrada; Parachela; Macrobiotidae.
CAACUGCUGCGACACUGUUUUAGACAAACUAAUGAAACGGAAGUUCGCGAGAGAGUGUGUGCAUGCGCUGGAAGGGUUGCAUAAAAUUUUCGAAAAAUUCCAGAUAAGCUAUCUGUACGACGGGAAAGGAAAAACCGGCAUCGGUUUUAUUCAUUGUUCCCAGGCGCAAGCAAAUCCUCAUGGCUGUCGGGGAAUCGGAUAAGCUUAAUUAAGUCCAAAAAAUUCUGUAGUAGCCAAUCCAGGCCGCCAAUAAUUUUACAUCAACUCUCACCUAAUUUUGUCGUUACACCGACUCUAGCGGGCGCCGGGAGCUAAUUUAUUUAUUCACUGAAAAACCGCCCAUCUCCUUACUCAGCAUUUAAGAAUCAAUGGCAAUUCCGCAAACCGGAAGCCCCUGACACCACAUACGAGCUAUUCUGUCAUCAGGAUUGACUGGGGAGCGUAGAGACCAACUGAAUUCAGAAUAAACGUCAAAGGCGAUCAAAAUCAGAAAGACAUCCAGCCAACGCCAUCUACGUUCAAGACGCAGGUUUCGGUGUGCUCACUUAAAAAUCCAAGCGUUUCUUAAAACCAUCGGACAUGGAAAAACAGAUUCCAACGCAGCGCACUUAUCUUAUGAAAUGAUGCGUACAAAUAACUAUGUCUCCGGAAGCACCUGCUCGAUCUUUCAAGGUUUAGAAACUGGGCGAAUUGCUAUCGUUGCUGAAACUUCCUUUCCUUGCUUUCGUUGCUAAAAAUUCCUUUUUCUGGUUUUGUAUUGCAAAUUGUUUGUACCUACCUUUGUACAAUCUGACUAAAUGAGGAGGCUACGGUCUAUGU